UAGCGUAUAUUAAAGUUGUUGCGGUAAAAAAGCUCGUAGUUGGAUUUCUGUUGAGAACGACCGGUCCACACAACGUGUGCGCAUCUGGUUCGGUCUCGGCAUCCUUCAGUUAAAUGUUACUGCGCUUGAUUGCGUGGUGCAAUUGCUGAACUUUUACUUUGAGGAAAUUAGAGUGUUCACGGCAGGCUAUCGCCAGAAUACAUUAGCAUGGAAUAAUACUAUAGGAUCUUGAUCCUAUUUUGUUGGUUUCUAGGAGCAAGAUAAUGAUUAAUAGGGACAAUUGGGGGCAUUCGUAUCACGUAGUC
RNAcentral lists this ribosomal RNA (305 nucleotides) under Amoebophrya sp. RNAcentral's name for it is "SSU rRNA". It matches the Rfam family "Eukaryotic small subunit ribosomal RNA", at positions 595 to 906 of the family's 1831-position model. Lineage: Eukaryota; Dinophyceae; Syndiniales; Amoebophryaceae. The record is from RNAcentral.